UAAGCUUGUGAAGGUGUGCCGUGAGGCAUGCUGGCGGUUUCAGAAGUGCGAAUGCCGACAUAAGUAACGAAAAACCGGGUGAAAAGCCCGCUCCCCGGAAGUCUAUGGGUUUCUGUCCAACGUUUAUCGGGGCAGGGCGAGUCGAUCCCUAAGGCGAGGCCGAAAGGUGUAGUCGUUGGGAAAUGGGUUUAUAUUCCCGUACUUGGUUUUAUUGUGCAGGCGGGAUGGGGAAGGCUAUGUUGGACGGGC
Molecule: ribosomal RNA, 249 nt
Filed under: Salmonella enterica subsp. enterica serovar Infantis
Lineage: Bacteria; Pseudomonadati; Pseudomonadota; Gammaproteobacteria; Enterobacterales; Enterobacteriaceae
Description: partial 23S ribosomal RNA
Rfam family: Bacterial large subunit ribosomal RNA
Source: RNAcentral